UCACUUCUUGGCCUUUUGGCUAAGAUCUAGUGUAAUAUUUG
This 41-nucleotide small nuclear RNA is filed under the name Cervus elaphus hippelaphus. The record is from RNAcentral. Lineage: Eukaryota; Metazoa; Chordata; Mammalia; Artiodactyla; Cervidae.